This 24-nucleotide non-coding RNA is filed under the name Arabidopsis thaliana (thale cress). Lineage: Eukaryota; Viridiplantae; Streptophyta; Magnoliopsida; Brassicales; Brassicaceae. The record is from RNAcentral.
GCAGAUUCAGAUUGUCAAAUCAAC